UACAGAGGUCUCAAGCGUUGUUCGGAUUCAUUGGGCGUAAAGGGUGCGUAGGUGGCGCUGUAAGUCAGGUGUGAAAUUUCGGAGCUCAACUCCGAAACUGCAUUUGAUACUGCGGUGCUUGAGGACUGGAGAGGAGAUUGGAAUUCACGGUGUAGCAGUGAAAUGCGUAGAUAUCGGAAGGAACACCUGUGGCGAAAGCGGCUCACUGGACCAUUACUGACGCUGAGGCACGAAAGCUAGGGGAGCAAACAGG
RNAcentral lists this ribosomal RNA (253 nucleotides) under uncultured bacterium. RNAcentral's name for it is "partial 16S ribosomal RNA". It matches the Rfam family "Bacterial small subunit ribosomal RNA", at positions 524 to 776 of the family's 1533-position model. The record is from RNAcentral.